ACGAUGCCCUGAUUGAAGCCCAAUGUCACAAUGCUGAAGUCCCCGAAACUUGCAUAAAAUGCGUAAAAUCUGAUCCUCGAAGUCAAUCAGCCAAUAAAGUUGGCAUUGCCGCCAUCAUCAUAACUUGUCUUAGCAACAAAGCCACGACCUUGAUAAACAACAUGACGACUCUUGCUUCGGGCGCUCGCGACAAGAACUUGAAAGUGGCUCUCCGAGGUUGCGAGAAAGGGUUUUACUACACAAAAACCAAUUUGAUCUCUGCGACGAGCCGAUUGAAGGGGAAAGAAUAUGAUCAAACGAAUCUUCUGGUGAAACAAGCGCUCGAAGAAGAAUUUGUUUG
Molecule: long non-coding RNA, 340 nt
Filed under: Gossypium barbadense (sea-island cotton)
Lineage: Eukaryota; Viridiplantae; Streptophyta; Magnoliopsida; Malvales; Malvaceae
Description: long non-coding RNA (GBAR_LNC021273)
Source: RNAcentral